GAUCGGGGUUGCUCUUGGUUGGAUGAAGAUAAGAUCCAAAGAGAGCAGAUUAGUGAAGAAUAAGGGAUUUGUGUGAUCUGAAGACUCUUUGGAGAGUUCCAAGGCCAACUUCUUGGGCAAACGGUGCAGGAUCUGACUAGUGUUAGGGUUAUUUGGUCCUUAUCCUGGCCCUAAAGGACCUGGCCAGGAGGAUUUUCAGCUAUGUCAGCCUUGUUCUUCUGUGAGAUACUCAGGCCAUAAUUCUGUUUCUCCAGCUUUUCCCAAGAAGAGGGACCAUCCUGCCAGCAUCAGCUCACCCAUCCUGCAUAGAGAAUGUACCCUGGCAAUGACUCAGUGAUCUGCAGGAUUUGCUGCGUCUUAAGAGUGAAGGGAGUACAUGAGAAGAGGCAGACACGUCUGUCGAUGAGAACAUUGGCCAGGGCUUUGAAGAGUUUAUCAGGGCUGUUCGACUCUAUAUUACCACGUCAAACAGAACCAUAACUAAUGAUGUAGGGAUUCUUGUGAGGGAGGUCUUAAGGCCAGACGUUCUUCCUCAUUCCAGACUCCUUUUAUGAUGCUUCUGGGCUUCACCGUGGCUUUUCUGUUUUACCUUAGUUACCUGUAUUUUGAUUUUUUUUUUCUAUUUGUUUUAGGACUUAGACACACAGGACAUUCUAUGAUCUUGGAUCUUCUUAAUUUUGUACUUAGAAGGUAGAGUACUUGGAAUAUCAAGAUCUAGGCUUGUUGUUUUCUGAUGUCACUGUAAGCACCAGAAUUGAAUAACAGAAUCUUCCUUCUCUCUUUUAAAAGUCCUUUACUCUAAUUCACUCCGUGUCUCUUUCCUUUCUCUUCCCUCUUUGUUUAAUAUAAGAGGAAAGGAAUGGAAAGAGAAAACUAAGAUUAGACUACCUGACCAGUGAUUUUACUUUGGGCAAUGGAAAUAUAAACCAUACACACACUUCUGUUUUUCCCAGGAUCUGAAGCAUGGCUGUUUGGGCAGCUGGCUAUUCUGAGGUACAUUUCAGAAAUAACUUAUGUUUAUUUAUCAUUGGAUAUUUAUAACAGUGUUUCAGAGUCGGUUUCCAGUAACCCCAUAAAGGAUCCCAGGUUCUCGCAAUAGUGGAGGAGGCUGGAGAGGGGACCUGAGCAGGGAGGGAUACUGGCAUUGCUAGAAGCUAUAGCCCCGCCCUCCCCUUAGUGUUUCUCAGCUGAGGUGGCAGGGCUGAGGGGUGCACACUGAAAAACAAUCUGGGAGUCUUCCUGGAAAGGAUGUCAGAGUUUAAAUCCGAUUACUUUUCCAAUUUGAUGGAGCGUGGGGGCAAGUGCUUGUGUGAAUAUGCUUGCAUAUGCGCACUUACACACACACACACACACACACACACACACACACACACACACACACACACACUCACAUGCACUUACUCACACACAGGCACUCUGAGCUCAGGCGUAGAUAGUGUUGACAUUUCUGGAGGCACAAAAGGAUCACAAAUUCCUGAGCAGUCACCCAUAGACCUGAGCUGCCCAGGAAUGCCGACGUUCCAGGCACUGACAUCAUUCCUCCUCUGGCUCUGAGAGGAACUCUCUGACCCCCAGGUCUUCUGGCAGCUAUUUUUAGACUGCAAACCCUCCCCCCUGGCAUUCCCUUGGUGUACUCGGGGAAGCAGGUUUCAGGACGGGCCUCCCACUUUAUUGAACAUGCAGUUUGUAUCAAGAAUGAGGUGUGGGAGGAGAUGAAGGGAAUUUGCAGCACAUCUGGUCUAUCAUCUUUAUUGGGCAGAGGAUGCCAGAGAAGUUGAAUGGUUUAUUCAAAGCCAAACAGCCAAUUACAAACUUGUAGCCUUCCCUCCAGAUUUUUGUCUCUUUUACUUAGAGGUUCUCAAAGAAGUUGCCCUCAGAAACCCUUUGCAUUCUAGAAAAUUAUUUCUGUGUAAGUGUGUAUGCUUGAAGUAUGUGUGUGUGUCUGUUUGUGUGUCUGUGUGUGUUCCACUAUAUGUGUGUUUGUGUAUAUAUGUGUGUGUUCCUCUGUGUGUGUAUGUGUGUGUUCCUUUGUGUUUGUGUAUAUGUUCCUCUAUGUGUGCAUUCUUCUGUGUAUGUGUGUGUUCUUCUCUGUGUGUGUCUGUGUUGCUCUGUGUGUGUGCACGCACAUGUGUGUGUAGAGGCUAGAUAGGUGUUGUGUAUCUUCUGCUAUUGUUAUCCACCUGAUUAUUUUUUAAUUUUAAUUUUUUGAGAAUAUUGUACAUGGGCUCUGUACUUGCGUUACUCCCACCUCCUGCUCAGACUGCUCCAGAGUUCCCCUCCAAAGUGCAGGUCUUGUCUUUCAUUAUUAUUGUUACAUGUAUAUAUGUACAUAUAUAUACCAUUUACUGAGUCCAUUUAGCAUUGCUGUGUGCAUUUGUGUCCAGGGCUGACCACUUGGGAUUGAGGAUUAGACAUCCUAUGUGGUAUUUCUUCCCAGGGGGAUAUUAAUUCUCUCUCUCUCUCUGUCAGCAGCAUUAAGCAGUUAUAGCUCUUCAUCUAGGGGUGGAACCAUGUGAAAUUUCCCCUGUCCAUGUUGACAUGUCAAUAGUGUCAUUAUCCUCUUCUUUCCACUUUAAUAUUAUAAAAUGGGGUCUCUAACAGAUCUCAAUGCUCACAGAUUUGGUAAGACUAGAUGGCCAAGAGCUUGAGUGAGCCUUCGGUGUACACACACACACACACACACACACACACACACACAUAUACAUACAUAUAUGUAUAUAUGUAUAAAUACUUAAACAUACAUGUAUAUAUGCUAUGUUCCUUUAGCAGAACAGGAGUAUUUGGUUUCCUCUGGGUCCAUAUCCUAUCUAGUCCCAGAUUCUUGACUGCCUGAGCAGUGUCAUGCGUGGGUUACAUCUCAUGGAGUAGGCCUUAAAUCUAAUCAGAUAGUGGUUGGUUACCCACAUAUUGUUUGUCGUGAUUGCUCUAGCAAAUCAUACAGGCAGGUCACCAUUGCCAACUGCAGGAUUUGUGCCUGGGUUGAUGGUUGCAUUGGAUGGUUGGUGGUUGUGCGAAUAGUUCCUUUCAGGACCACAAACAUAAGCAAUGAAAAGAGUCAAAUUAUUUGAAAUGUAUUUAAAAUAUUAUUAUUAACAAUAUUAUAUAAAAUUAAAAUUAUUUUCACAAAUCUUUUCAACAACUGGAUUACUGGAGGGGAACAGGGAUCUCAUAUCUCUCCUUUCAUUCAGUUAUAAAACAUCAUGCCUCACAGUUGCUGGAAGCUGCAGUGUGAGAAGAGGAUGAGUACUGAACGCAUUUUAAUUAUAGGGUUAUUACAAACCGAUUGGUGUGUCUCAUGAUUCUCUGCUUGCUCCUUAAAUAUCUGCACAUACCUCAUCUACAGUCUUUUUCACUCUGGAUCAGACUUCCAUUCAAUAAGCAUUCAUUGGAAAACUACCAGUAGGUGUUAAGCUGGGAAUUUAAAGACAAAGAGCGUACAUAAACUUUCAUCCCAAAACUCAGUUGCAAAAGAAAUAGAACUUGGUUUUCUAAUGUAAUCAAACAUCUGAUUUCAACCCACAUUCUGCCAGACUGCUAGGAAACUUGAUCCUGAUGUUCUUUCACAGACUUCCUCUACCCACUCAAAGAAUGUGGCAGAAUCUUAGGGACUCAAAGCCGACAAAACUUCUGAGAGACUCUUACAGACUCAUGUGGCUCUGUAUGCUUAGUAAGCUACAAAGUAGAGAUGAGAUGGCUGCCCGUGGUUGUGUCUGAUGGCCCUUCGACUCUGAGCAUCUAUGGCUGGCUCAAGGUGGGGCUUUUGUCCUGUGUCCUUCAACCUCAUUCAGGAUCCCGAUCUUUCUCCCUGAGUGCUAAGAAUGUGGGCCCAGGUAUUCCAAUUGAGAAGCUAUACUCUUCUUUUUCUGUUUUCGUGUGCAUGUGUGUGUGUGUGUGUGUGUGUGUGUGAGCUUGUAUGUAUAAGGUGUGUGCACGCAUGCGCAUGGCUUUGUGGAGGCUUGAGGCUGCUGUUGGGAAUAAAUCCUCCAUUGUUCUUUCACUUCCUUCAUUGAAACACUUUUUUUCACUCAGACCCAGAGCUUCCUUAAGUAGCUUAGUCUCCCUAGCCAGCUUGCUUUGGAGAUUCCCUGACCCCAUUUGGUCUUCAUGGUUGAAUGCAUUAACCAUUGGGCUUAACCAUUGGGCUACUACCCCAGUACUCAUCCUUAUCUCUUUCUACUCGUUUUUACUUUUUAAGAUUUAUUUUUAUUUUUACUUCAAAAACCUUUUCAUUGACUCUUCAUGAGUUUCAUAUCAUGCAUUCCAGUUCCACUCAUCUCCCUGUCCCUUCUUAUUCUCACUCUGUCCUUGCAACACCCCC
RNAcentral lists this long non-coding RNA (4318 nucleotides) under Mus musculus (house mouse). RNAcentral's name for it is "long non-coding RNA chr13:3693622-3697940". The record is from RNAcentral. Lineage: Eukaryota; Metazoa; Chordata; Mammalia; Rodentia; Muridae.